This 2967-nucleotide ribosomal RNA is filed under the name Triticum aestivum (bread wheat). Its description in RNAcentral is "partial small subunit ribosomal RNA". Lineage: Eukaryota; Viridiplantae; Streptophyta; Magnoliopsida; Poales; Poaceae. The record is from RNAcentral.
AUGGGCACAAUUUUGGAUGCCCUCACGUUCAAACUCUUGACAAAGCUGGGUCAGGUUAUCGAGAAUGAGGUUGUGAUGACAUUAAGUGUGAAGAAGGAUAUCAGGAGGCUAAAGAAUAAUCUGGAACAUUUUAGCGCCAUUCGGGAGGAUGCUGAAGCUCUGGCCAUGGAAGAUAAACGGAUAGAGGCAUGGUGGAAGAACAUGAGCAAUGUAAUGUUUGAUGUUGAUGUCAUCAUCGAUCUUGUUAUGGUUCAUUCAGAAAAGCUUUUGCUGACACCUAGAUCAGUAUGUUGCAAUCAGUCCAUGGUCUCUUGUUUUGGAAAGCUUCCAUUUGAUCACAGGGUGGCUAGAAGAAUUAAGGACAUAAAUGAAAAGCUUGAUGAGAUUAAAAUGAACACAGAGAUGUUCAACUUGGACAGAACCACACGUCAACAGUUCCAAGUAACAAUUGUGGAUAGAAAGCAGACAUCUCCUGUAGAUGAACUAGAGGUUGUUGGAACAGAAAUCAAACAGGCAGUUGAGGACAUGGUACAAAUGAUUGUCAGUGGCUGUCGUGAGAAUAGGUCAAGUGUUUUUGGGAUUCAAGGGAUGGGAGGCAUUGGUAAGACAACAUUAGCUCAGAAGAUUUACAAUGAGCCAUUGGUAAGGGAGAAAUUCCAAGUCCGUAUAUGGUUGUGCAUUUCGCAGAGCUACACAGAGACCGGGUUGAUAAAGCAGGCAAUACGAAUGGCAGGAGAAAAGUGUGAUCAAUUAGAGACCAAGACCGAGCUUCUACCACUUCUAGUGGACUCUAUCAAUGGAAAGAGUGUUCUUCUUGUGCUGGAUGAUGUGUGGAAAUCUGAUGUCUGGAUUGAUCUUCUUCUAUCGCCUUUCAGGAGAGCCUUGAAUUUCCAUGUCAUUGUCACCACAAGAAACCUGGAUGUAUUGGCAGAAAUGCAUGCAACAUAUACUCACCAAGUAAACACAAUGAAUUAUCAUGAUGGUUUAGAGCUGCUUCUGAAGAAGUCCCUCCAGCCGCACGAGCAAAUAAGUGAAUUCGAGAAUGUUGGGUAUGAAAUUGUAAAGAAAUGUGACGGUCUUCCUCUAGCCAUCAAGAUUGUUGCAGGUGUGCUAUCUACCAAAAGAACAACUGCGGAAUGGAAGAGUAUCCGAGAUAGCAAAUGGUCCAUUCAUGGACUCCCCAAAGAACUUGGAGGCCCCCUGUAUUUAAGUUACAGCAACUUACCCCCUCAACUUAAGGAGUGCUUUCUCUGGUGUGCGUUGCUGCCUCCUAAUUUUGAAAUCCAUCGUGAUUCUGUAGCUUACUGGUGGGUUGCUGAAGGUUUAGUGAGGAAAGAGCAUGGAUUCUCAAUACAUGAAAUUGCUGAAGAGUAUUACCUUGAGCUAGUUCGGAGGAAUCUUCUUCAACCUGUACCAGAGUAUGUAGACAAGGCUGUGUCUACGAUGCAUGAUCUAUUGAGGUCACUUGGACAAUAUUUGACAAAGGAUCACUCCCUGUGCAUGAAUGUGGACAGAAUCGAUGCUAUGUCGAAUCUCCGCCGCUUAGGUAUCAGUCAUGCUGUAGAAGAAAUACCCAAUCUGGAAGAGCACAAGUGCUUGAGGAGCCUCCUACUUUUUAAUAACAAGAAUUUCAAAUCAAUGCACAGGGAUAUUUUCAGAAAGCUUGAGCAUAUCCGUGUCUUGGUUCUCCGUGGAACAAGCACCAAGGACAUACCAGACUCGGUUGGAAAUUUGGUGCUAUUGAGGUUGCUAGAUCUGAGCUAUACAGAGAUUAACAAACUUCCUGAAUCCAUAGGAAGUCUCAUCAGCCUUGAAUACCUUUCUUUGCUUGGUUGCCAUCAAUUGGAUAGCCUGCCAGCUGGUCUGAUGAGAUUGUCCAAGAUAAGUUUUUUGCACCUAGAGCAGACUUCAAUUGAUCAUGUUCCUAAAGGGAUCGCAAAGUUUCAGCAGCUGUACAACCUAAGAGGAGUCUUUGAGAGCGGGACUGGAUUCAGAUUGGACGAAUUGCGAUGCCUCCCCAAUAUCCAACGUCUCUGGGUUAGUAAGCUAGAGGAAGCGAUGCCAGGGGGCGAACUUGUACUGAAGAACAGUCGUAAUCUUAAAGAACUGGGACUACGCUGCACAAUGAACAGAGAUACUCAUGAUAGAACUUGCUAUGCGCACGACAAGGUUCAGAAAAUUCAGCAAGUCUACGAUAUGCUCAUCCCGUCGCCAAGCCUAGAAUACAUUUUUCUUGUUGGGUUCCCAGGCACUAUGUUCCCAGAAUGGCUACGAUCGAAACCGGAGCUUAACAUGCCUAGUUUGCGUCAGAUGCACCUCGAUGAGUGCAUAUCAUGUUCAGAGCUUCCACCUGCAGGUCAGAUGCCACAACUGCAAUUUCUUAAGAUUAAAGGUGCAGAUGCCAUAGAGUCCAUUGGCGAAGAACUCCUGGGAAAAGGAGUCAGAAUUCCAGCAGCCUUUUUCCCAAAGCUUGAAGUGCUUCAGGUCAUUGGCAUGUUCAGUUUGAGAAGUUGGUCCCUCAAAACUGGGAAUCCCAGCGAUAGCGCUCAUCAUAUCUCUCUGAUGCCUUGCCUUAAGCGUCUGUUGCUUCUUGAUUGCCCAAAACUGAGAGCUCUCCCUCAAGACAUGUCCAAGAUUGUUAACUUGAAGAGAAUCCACAUUGAAGGUGCUCACAAGCUGAAAGAAGUCGUCGACCUUCCCGCAGCCGUGUGGCUCAAAGUGAGGAACAACACAUGUUUGAAGACAAUCUCCAAUCUCUGUAAGCUCCAGGACUUGCUUGCGCAGGACUGCCCAGCACUGGAUCAGGCAAAGAACCUAUGCUCAUUGAGGCGCUUGUACAUGGUCGACUGCCCACACGAGCAAGAGUUCAGGAAGUGCCUCUCGGAAGAACAAGGCGUCCUAGUCCAUGUUGCUACGGUUGGCGCAGAUGGCCGGAAUAUCUUCCCGGAUGAAUCUCUCUACAAUUAG